UGGGGGAUAUUGCACAAUGGGCGAAAGCCUGAUGCAGCGACGCCGCGUGGGGGAUGAAGGCCUUCGGGUUGUAAACUUCUUUUGCUCUGAACAAGGCAUGCCUUUGGGGUGUGUUGAGUGUAGGGGUUGAUUAGCGCCGGCUAACUACGUGCCAGCAGCCGCGGUAAUACGUAGGGCGCGAGCGUUGUCCGGAAUUAUUGGGCGUAAAGGGCUUGUAGGUGGCUGGUUGCGUCUGUCGUGAAAGCUCAUGGCUUAACUGUGGGUUUGCGGUGGGUACGGGCUGGCUUGAGUGCAGUAGGGGAGGCUGGAAUUCCUGGUGUAGCGGUGGAAUGCGCAGAUAUCAGGAGGAAUACCGGUGGCGAAGGCGGGUCUCUGGGCUGUUACUGACGCCGAGGAGCGAAAGCGUGGGGAGCGAACAGG
Molecule: ribosomal RNA, 420 nt
Filed under: Fusobacteriota bacterium
Lineage: Bacteria; Fusobacteriati; Fusobacteriota
Description: Fusobacteria bacterium partial 16S ribosomal RNA
Rfam family: Bacterial small subunit ribosomal RNA
Source: RNAcentral